GGUAGCUAAAUGCGGAAGAGAUAAGUGCUGAAAGCAUCUAAGCACGAAACUUGCCCCGAGAUGAGUUCUCCCUGACCCUUUAAGGGUCCUGAAGGAACGUUGAAGACGACGACGUUGAUAGGCCGGGUGUGUAAGCGCAGCGAUGCGUUGAGCUAACCGGUACUAAUGAACCGUGAGGCUUAACCUUACAACGCCGAAGGUGUUU
RNAcentral lists this ribosomal RNA (205 nucleotides) under Escherichia coli. Its description in RNAcentral is "partial 23S ribosomal RNA". It matches the Rfam family "Bacterial large subunit ribosomal RNA", at positions 2744 to 2925 of the family's 2925-position model. Lineage: Bacteria; Pseudomonadati; Pseudomonadota; Gammaproteobacteria; Enterobacterales; Enterobacteriaceae. The record is from RNAcentral.